Molecule: long non-coding RNA, 380 nt
Filed under: Helianthus annuus (common sunflower)
Lineage: Eukaryota; Viridiplantae; Streptophyta; Magnoliopsida; Asterales; Asteraceae
Description: sRNA HanXRQr2_Chr16g0733911
Source: RNAcentral
UCACGAAAAGCGAAUAAAGUAAUUUUUUUUUAAUAAAGGCUUGUAGAAAAAAGAUUAAAUGCUAGAAUUAAGGGUUACAAGUCACAUCUAUUUCUUAGAUAGAAUGAAUGGGUUAAAAAUGGUUGAAAAUAGUGUGAGGUCUACUUAUAAUACAUACAUCAUUAUUGUAUGAAAUAUCGUAUUUGGGAUCAUAAGUACACAUCAUACACAUCAGUUAUUUAUCUAAAAAACAUACAAAUUUGUGGGUCGAACCAGCCGAACAACGUGUUCUGACUCAUUACCCAAAUUGCAAAAUCUUGUCACCUCUAGAGAAGGCGUUGGCAGAUAAAAUCGCUUCCUCUAAUAUAUAGUUGGUUAAUAAACAUGCUAAAAACUUAGUA